UAAACGGCCACACUGGGACUGAGACACGGCCCAGACUCUACGGGAGGCAGCAGUGGGGAAUCUUCCGCAAUGGACGAAAGUCUGACGGAGCAACGCCGCGUGUAUGAUGAAGGUCUUCGGAUUGUAAAGUACUGUCUUUGGGGAAGAACGAUUGUCUUGAAAAUAUUGAGACAAUAUGACGGUACCCAAGGAGGAAGCCCCGGCUAACUACGUGCCAGCAGCCGCGGUAAUACGUAGGGGGCAAGCGUUGUCCGGAAUUAUUGGGCGUAAAGGGCGCGUAGGCGGAUAUUUAAGUCCGGUGUGAAAGAUCAGGGCUCAACCCUGAGAGUGCAUCGGAAACUGGGUAUCUUGAGGACAGGAGAGGAAAGUGGAAUUCCUAGUGUAGCGGUGAAAUGCGUAGAUAUUAGGAGGAACACCAGUGGCGAAGGCGACUUUCUGGACUGUAACUGACGCUGAGGCGCGAAAGCGUGGGGAGCAAACAGGAUUAGAUACCCUGGUAGUCCACGCCGUAAACGAUGAGUGCUAGGUGUAGAGGGUAUCGACCCCUUCUGUGCCGCAGUUAACACAAUAAGCACUCCGCCUGGGGAGUACGGCCGCAA
Molecule: ribosomal RNA, 599 nt
Filed under: Desulfosporosinus sp. G400IV
Lineage: Bacteria; Bacillati; Bacillota; Clostridia; Eubacteriales; Desulfitobacteriaceae
Description: bacterial SSU rRNA
Rfam family: Bacterial small subunit ribosomal RNA
Source: RNAcentral